This 407-nucleotide ribosomal RNA is filed under the name uncultured bacterium. Its description in RNAcentral is "partial 16S ribosomal RNA". It matches the Rfam family "Bacterial small subunit ribosomal RNA", at positions 30 to 526 of the family's 1533-position model. The record is from RNAcentral.
AUUGAACGCUAGCGGGAUGCCUUACACAUGCAAGUCGAACGGAGUGGCGAACGGGUGAGUAAUGUAUCGGAACGUGCCCAGUAGCGGGGGAUAACUACGCGAAAGCGUAGCUAAUACCGCAGACUAUUGGGGCGGCCGAUAGCGGAUUAGCUAGUUGGUGGGGUAACGGCUCACCAAGGCGACGAUCCGUAGCUGGUUUGAGAGGACGACCAGCCAAACUGGGACUGAGACACGGCCCAGACUCCUACGGGAGGCAGCAGUGGGGAAUUUUGGACAAUGGGGGAAACCCUGAUCCAGCCAUCCCGCGUGAGUGAUGAAGGCCUUCGGGUUGUAAAGCACUUUUGGCAGGAAAGCGGUACCUACCGAAUAAGCACCGGCUAACUACGUGCCAGCCGCCGCGGUAAUAC